RNAcentral lists this ribosomal RNA (1540 nucleotides) under Salmonella enterica. RNAcentral describes it as "bacterial SSU rRNA". It matches the Rfam family "Bacterial small subunit ribosomal RNA". The record is from RNAcentral. RNAcentral also lists the same sequence under 1 other name. Lineage: Bacteria; Pseudomonadati; Pseudomonadota; Gammaproteobacteria; Enterobacterales; Enterobacteriaceae.
AAAUUGAAGAGUUUGAUCAUGGCUCAGAUUGAACGCUGGCGGCAGGCCUAACACAUGCAAGUCGAACGGUAGCACAGAGAGCUUGCUCUCGGGUGACGAGUGGCGGACGGGUGAGUAAUGUCUGGGAAACUGCCUGAUGGAGGGGGAUAACUACUGGAAACGGUGGCUAAUACCGCAUAACGUCGCAAGACCAAAGAGGGGGACCUUCGGGCCUCUUGCCAUCAGAUGUGCCCAGAUGGGAUUAGCUAGUUGGUGAGGUAACGGCUCACCAAGGCGACGAUCCCUAGCUGGUCUGAGAGGAUGACCAGCCACACUGGAACUGAGACACGGUCCAGACUCCUACGGGAGGCAGCAGUGGGGAAUAUUGCACAAUGGGCGCAAGCCUGAUGCAGCCAUGCCGCGUGUAUGAAGAAGGCCUUCGGGUUGUAAAGUACUUUCAGCGGGGAGGAAGGUGUUGUGGUUAAUAACCACAGCAAUUGACGUUACCCGCAGAAGAAGCACCGGCUAACUCCGUGCCAGCAGCCGCGGUAAUACGGAGGGUGCAAGCGUUAAUCGGAAUUACUGGGCGUAAAGCGCACGCAGGCGGUCUGUCAAGUCGGAUGUGAAAUCCCCGGGCUCAACCUGGGAACUGCAUUCGAAACUGGCAGGCUUGAGUCUUGUAGAGGGGGGUAGAAUUCCAGGUGUAGCGGUGAAAUGCGUAGAGAUCUGGAGGAAUACCGGUGGCGAAGGCGACCCCCUGGACAAAGACUGACGCUCAGGUGCGAAAGCGUGGGGAGCAAACAGGAUUAGAUACCCUGGUAGUCCACGCCGUAAACGAUGUCUACUUGGAGGUUGUGCCCUUGAGGCGUGGCUUCCGGAGCUAACGCGUUAAGUAGACCGCCUGGGGAGUACGGCCGCAAGGUUAAAACUCAAAUGAAUUGACGGGGGCCCGCACAAGCGGUGGAGCAUGUGGUUUAAUUCGAUGCAACGCGAAGAACCUUACCUGGUCUUGACAUCCACAGAACUUUCCAGAGAUGGAUUGGUGCCUUCGGGAACUGUGAGACAGGUGCUGCAUGGCUGUCGUCAGCUCGUGUUGUGAAAUGUUGGGUUAAGUCCCGCAACGAGCGCAACCCUUAUCCUUUGUUGCCAGCGGUCCGGCCGGGAACUCAAAGGAGACUGCCAGUGAUAAACUGGAGGAAGGUGGGGAUGACGUCAAGUCAUCAUGGCCCUUACGACCAGGGCUACACACGUGCUACAAUGGCGCAUACAAAGAGAAGCGACCUCGCGAGAGCAAGCGGACCUCAUAAAGUGCGUCGUAGUCCGGAUUGGAGUCUGCAACUCGACUCCAUGAAGUCGGAAUCGCUAGUAAUCGUGGAUCAGAAUGCCACGGUGAAUACGUUCCCGGGCCUUGUACACACCGCCCGUCACACCAUGGGAGUGGGUUGCAAAAGAAGUAGGUAGCUUAACCUUCGGGAGGGCGCUUACCACUUUGUGAUUCAUGACUGGGGUGAAGUCGUAACAAGGUAACCGUAGGGGAACCUGCGGUUGGAUCACCUCCUUA